GGAGAGUUGUCCGAGUGGUCGAAGGAGCUGGUCUCGAAAAUCAGUGUAUCUUUUAGGUACCGAGGGUUCGAACCCCUCACUCUCCG
Molecule: transfer RNA, 86 nt
Filed under: Candidatus Hungatella pullicola
Lineage: Bacteria; Bacillati; Bacillota; Clostridia; Lachnospirales; Lachnospiraceae
Description: tRNA-Ser
Rfam family: tRNA
About the family: Transfer RNA (tRNA) molecules are approximately 80 nucleotides in length. Their secondary structure includes four short double-helical elements and three loops (D, anti-codon, and T loops). Further hydrogen bonds mediate the characteristic L-shaped molecular structure. tRNAs have two regions of fundamental functional importance: the anti-codon, which is responsible for specific mRNA codon recognition, and the 3' end, to which the tRNAs corresponding amino acid is attached (by aminoacyl-tRNA synthetases). tRNAs cope with the degeneracy of the genetic code in two manners: having more than one tRNA (with a specific anti-codon) for a particular amino acid; and 'wobble' base-pairing, i.e. permitting non-standard base-pairing at the 3rd anti-codon position.
Source: RNAcentral